RNAcentral lists this ribosomal RNA (460 nucleotides) under uncultured bacterium. RNAcentral describes it as "partial 16S ribosomal RNA". It matches the Rfam family "Bacterial small subunit ribosomal RNA", at positions 338 to 795 of the family's 1533-position model. The record is from RNAcentral.
CCUACGGGAGGCAGCCGUGAGGAAUAUUGGUCAAUGGACGAGAGUCUGAACCAGCCAAGUAGCGUGAAGGAUGACUGCCCUAUGGGUUGUAAACUUCUUUUAUAAAGGAAUAAAACGAGGCACGUGUGCCUUUUUGCAUGUACUUUAUGAAUAAGGAUCGGCUAACUCCGUGCCAGCAGCCGCGGUAAUACGGAGGAUCCGAGCGUUAUCCGGCUUUAGUGGGUUUAAAGGGGGCGUAGAUGGGUUGUUAAGUCAGUUGUGAAAGUUUGCGGCUCAACCGUAAAAUUGCAAGUGAUACUGGCAGUCGUGAGUACAGUGGAGGUAGGAGGAAUUCGUGGUGUAGCGGUGAAAUGCAUAGAGAUCACGAAGAACCCCGAUUGCGAAGGCAGCUUACUAAACUGUGACUGACAUUGAUGCUCGAAAGUGUGGGUAUCAAACAGGAUUAGAUACCCUUGUAGUC